GAGCCCAAGAUUGAAAGCUGGCGUCUUCGGCGUCCGCAUUGUAAUCUCAAGAAGUGUUUUCCGCUUCGGACCAAGCCUAAGUCCCCUGGAAAGGGGCAUCAUAGAGGGUGAUAAUCCCGUACAUGGCUUGGAGCGCCCGAGGCUUUGUGAUACGCUUUCUAAGAGUCGAGUUGUUUGGGAAUGCAGCUCAAAAUGGGUGGUAAAUGCCAUCUAAGGCUAAAUAUUGGGGAGAGACCGAUAGCGAACAAGUACAGUGAUGGAAAGAUGAAAAGAACUUUGAAAAGAGAGUUAAACAGUACGUGAAAUUGCCAAAAGGGAAGGGUAGGAGGUCAGAGAUGCGGCCUGGGAUUCAGCCUUGCUUUUGCUUGGUGUUUUUCCCAGAUUGCAGGCCAACGUCGGUUUUGGGCACUGGAGAAGGGUAGGAGGAACGUGGCACCCCUCGGGGUGUGUUAUAGCCUCCUACUGGAUACAGCGACCGAGACCGAGGACAGCAGCGUACUCGCAAGAGCGGGCCUUCGGGCACCUUUACGCUUAGGGCGUUGGCAUAAUGGCCCUCUACCAC
This 562-nucleotide ribosomal RNA is filed under the name Moesziomyces antarcticus. RNAcentral describes it as "partial large subunit ribosomal RNA". It matches the Rfam family "Eukaryotic large subunit ribosomal RNA", at positions 104 to 648 of the family's 3401-position model. The record is from RNAcentral. Lineage: Eukaryota; Fungi; Basidiomycota; Ustilaginomycetes; Ustilaginales; Ustilaginaceae.